UAUCCAGUAAGGACAAUAAAGAGUUCCAGAGACUCAGUGACCUUCUUCUCGAAGUCCAGCUUGCCAAAACCGACCCUAAACUACCCAGCCUCAGUUACCUGGACACUGCUCGAGGAGUUAACCCUAUCAUUUACAAGCUUCUGUAUGGCCUACGAGAAAAGUGGAUCCAAAUCGGGUCAUCAUACAAAUGGGAAAACAAGGUUUCCUUUCCCCCGUUCUCCUACUUCUGCGAAUUUGUCAGGAACAUUGCUGACACCAAGAACGAUCCUAGUUUUGCAUUCGGUGAGUUCAGUACUCCCUCACUUAAAGGUGACAACCUACAUGUCAGCUACAGGAACCGUAGAGGUCCCGUGUAUGUUAAGAAGACAGACAUUAUUCCCACUCCCACCUCAGCGCCCGCCUCAAACAAGAGCGACAAGAUUGAAAACCCAAACCGAUAAUGUCCUAUCCACAAGAAGCCACAUGACCUCAAAAAACGUAUCGGCUUUAGGAAGAAGCCCCUACAAGAACGAAAGAAACUCCUAAAGACCUUUGGGGUAUGUUAUAGAUGCUUUGCUUCCACUGAUCACUUCGCCAAGGAAUGCAAAAUCCCUAUCAAGUGCAUAGAGUGCGGUUCCGAUGACCAUGUGCAAGCUCU
Pelobates cultripes (western spadefoot toad) is the source of this 637-nucleotide non-coding RNA. Lineage: Eukaryota; Metazoa; Chordata; Amphibia; Anura; Pelobatidae. The record is from the annotation of a GenBank genome assembly.